AGUGAACGCUGGCGGUAGGCCUAACACAUGCAAGUCGAACGGCAGCACAGUAAGAGCUUGCUCUUACGGGUGGCGAGUGGCGGACGGGUGAGGAAUACAUCGGAAUCUACUUUUUCGUGGGGGUUCACGUAGGGAAACUUACGCUAAUACCGCAUACGACCUACGGGUGAAAGCAGGGGAUCUUCGGACCUUGCGCGAUUGAAUGAGCCGAUGUCGGAUUAGCUAGUUGGCGGGGUAAAGGCCCACCAAGGCGACGAUCCGUAGCUGGUCUGAGAGGAUGAUCAGCCACACUGGAACUGAGACACGGUCCAGACUACUACGGGAGGCAGCAGUGGGGAAUAGUAGACAAUGGGCGCAAGCAUGAUCCAGCCAGACCGCGUGGGUGAAGAAGGCCUUGGGGUUGUAAAGCCCUUUUGUUGGGAAAGAAAAGCAGCAGGUUAAGACCCCGCUGUUCUGACGGUACCGAAAGAAUAAGCACCGGCUAACUUCGUG
This 492-nucleotide ribosomal RNA is filed under the name uncultured bacterium. RNAcentral describes it as "partial 16S ribosomal RNA". It matches the Rfam family "Bacterial small subunit ribosomal RNA", at positions 29 to 507 of the family's 1533-position model. The record is from RNAcentral.